UGGGAAUCUGCCCAGUAGUGGGGGACAACAGCCGGAAACGGCUGCUAAUACCGCAUACGCCCUACGGGGGAAAGGGGGGGAUCUUCGGACCUCUCGCUAUUGGAUGAGCCCGCGUCGGAUUAGCUAGUUGGUAGGGUAAAGGCCUACCAAGGCUACGAUCCGUAACUGGUCUGAGAGGAUGAUCAGUCACACUGGAACUGAGACACGGUCCAGACUCCGUACGGGAGCAG
Molecule: ribosomal RNA, 230 nt
Filed under: uncultured bacterium
Lineage: Bacteria
Description: partial 16S ribosomal RNA
Rfam family: Bacterial small subunit ribosomal RNA
Source: RNAcentral